Heligmosomoides polygyrus is the source of this 75-nucleotide non-coding RNA. NCBI's taxonomy places the organism in Eukaryota, Metazoa, Nematoda, Chromadorea, Rhabditida, Heligmosomidae. The record is from Rfam.
GCGCCGGUGGUGUAAUGGCGUAGAGCAUUCCCGCCCGGUCAGAGGGAGGUGCGGGUUCGACUCCCGCCUGGCGCU